Molecule: non-coding RNA, 45 nt
Organism: Trichobilharzia regenti
Lineage: Eukaryota; Metazoa; Platyhelminthes; Trematoda; Strigeidida; Schistosomatidae
Source: Rfam
AUCCAGAUGACGAGACUCAAACAGGACGAAGUGCGCAUCCUAGAU